AACCUUUGUUUCUAUUUGUUUUAGGUUUGAUGUAAGCUAUUGCUGCAACUGUUUCUCUGGCAGGGCCUUGUCUAAUAUGUUGAGUGGAGUGCAAACAUGGUAGAUGUGGAAAUAGACGUAAAACUGAAGAACGCUAAUCUUCAGGCAAAAAGGGAACAAUUGCGAAUUUGGAUUGGAUUUAAGCCCCCAGUGACUAACUCAAAGCCAAUCCAUGACCAGAAAUUCACAGGAAAGGAGGUAGAAGUUGUCCGUGGGUUUAGCUUGAUCGUUGCCGAUCGCUUCAUAGGAUAUCAUCACGAGGGAUGUUGACUCCAGGGAUGGAGGAAGCACGGCAGAGCAUCCGGCCAGCAGUGGGGAUGUAAGUGCGGAUAAGGUCGGCGGCGGCCUGAAGAGGCAGGGGAAGAUGACGAACAGGGCAGGGGUUUGGGUUCCACCGCCACCGUCCUGCGGCAGUUGGGGGCCUCUUCGUUGCAGAGCCGGCUAGGCUCCACCUCCUCCAUCCCUACCUUGGCGCUGCACAUGGGAGAAGCUGCACAUGGGAGAAGAAGGGGGCGACAUGAUGAGGACGAGGGGUUGCCGGGAUGGAUUCUGCAGCGCCGUGUCAUCUUGUCUCCUGCAACCAGCCCCGUGACUCUUUUCUCAUCGAUCUCGCGACGCUGCUACACUCCCUCUUCAUCAACAUCCACAUCACGGUCGUCUUCGCGUCGAGCUGGCAGCGCAUAUGCAUGAUCCCAGGUUACAUGGUGUUUGCUACAGUUCUGGGAGUUAGCCGAUGGCAAUAUAUUUGCACUUUUAUUUUGGUGCUUAACAGUUGAAGUCAAUUGCAGGUGUUAACAGUAUUCAUAUGCACCAAGGAGCUCUAGGAGUUGGGGAGGAAGGAGGAGUCCAGGGACAUCAAUUGGCAGUGCCAGGAAGUUCAGCAAGAGGCGUGCAAGAGGUUCACCAUCGUUGUAGCACACCAUAGCUCAGACCAGAACCACAAGAGAUGGAGUUUGACAUCCUGAAGCAAACAAGCACCGGUGUUGAUUGGAGUAAAAAUACAGACAUCAACUAAGACAAUCGCAGGUUUGGUCCGGCAUUUGAGGUUCGGUUCCAAGGCCGCGUGGUUUUGUCUGGAUGGAUCCCCUCUUUGACUGUAUUCUUGGAGCCAUAAAUACUGAGGUCAAAUGUGAGGAUAU
This is a long non-coding RNA of Lolium rigidum, 1178 nucleotides long. RefSeq lists it as uncharacterized. The record is from RefSeq and is a predicted model, not a curated record. Lineage: Eukaryota; Viridiplantae; Streptophyta; Magnoliopsida; Poales; Poaceae. The transcript is spliced from 9 exons.